UAGCUCUGUAUUCCAAGUUAUCCAGGAAUCGCCGACGAAGAUUGAUCGUGUAUUCGGCAAAGAAAGAUGCCGAAAAAAAUGGGAGUGAAUAGUAAAGCCGAGACGUCUAGGGCUCGGAAGAACGCCGUCGAAUCGGAGCGCAAAGACCGUGAAUCCCGAGAAAAAGAAGACCAGUAUUGGCGCGAGGCGGAAGGAGCCAAGCCACGCGCCGCCAAGAAACGUGAAGAAGAAGCCGAGAAGCGAGCAGAGGCCGCAGCAAAGAAAGCCGAGGUGCGUCGGCUUGCCGAGUUAGAGGAGAAAGAACUCGAGAAGUCGAUUAAGAAGCCGGAUAAGAAAGCCAAUCGUGUGUCCGCUCCGGUACCAAAGGUUACUGAGGCAGAACUAAGGCAGAGGAAGGAGGCGGAGCAGGCAGCAUUGGCAAAGAAGGCGGAGGAGGACAAGAGGAGGCAGAGCCGUAUGGCGGCAGAGGAGGAGUAUGAAAAGAUGGUGCUCGUAACCAAUAGGAAUCGUGAUGAUUCAAUUAUAGAGGCUAGCACUGUGGAUGAUGCCAUUGCUCACUUGGCUAUUUCAGAUAGUUUGCCACCGGAUAGGCAUCCCGAGAAGAGACUCAGGGCUGCCUUUAAGGCUUUUGAGGAGGCUGAGCUUCGUGCUCUGAAGGAGGAGAAACCAGGACUGACACACACUCAGUACAAAGACUUGAUUUGGAAGCUAUGGAAGAAAUCUCCAGAUAAUCCUCUUAACCAGGUCGCAGAUAAGUCAUAGGUACACUUUGUGCUGAUGUGGCUGCAAUAGUCCUAUGAGCUGAGAAAGGUGUGCUGUGGUGUGGAUAUGUUGAUGGUCUAUUGCGUGACCUGGUUGGUGUUGACAGUCUUCUGCGAAAGAUGUCUGGUUGGGGUUUGGUUAUAGCAAUUGCUUCUUGUUCAAGUGUAAUGCUUCCUAAUUAGAUACUAUACCCCCUCUGUAUUAUGACAAUUGAUGUCUGCACCUUGGUACUCGUGAUGUUCUUCCUUUGUUUAACAGUAAAUAACAUACUUGAAUAAGUCCUCUGUAUUUGACCGUGAAUAAUGCAAUCAAUGCUUUUCAGUAGCCG
RNAcentral lists this unclassified non-coding RNA (1090 nucleotides) under Hevea brasiliensis (rubber tree). The record is from RNAcentral. Lineage: Eukaryota; Viridiplantae; Streptophyta; Magnoliopsida; Malpighiales; Euphorbiaceae.